GUACACGCUGUGACUAGCAUAUCAAUAAGCGGAGGAAAAGAAACUAACAAGGAUUCCCCUAGUAACGGCGAGUGAAGCGGGAAGAGCUCAAAUUUGAAAUCUUAAAGGGUUUCCCUUUACGAAUUGUAGUUUAAAGAAGUGUUUUCUGUUGAGGUUUUGGUAAAAGUUCUUGGGAAUAGGACAUCAUAGAGGGUGAGAAUCCCGUAUUUGACCUUUACUUUCAACUUUGUGAUACACUUUCAAAGAGUCGGAUUGUUUGGGAAUGCAGUCCAAAAUGGGUGGUAAAUUUCAUCUAAAGCUAAAUAUUGGCGAGAGACCGAUAGCGAACAAGUACCGUGAGGGAAAGAUGAAAAGAACUUUGAAAAGAGAGUUAAACAGUACGUGAAAUUGUCAAAGGGGAAGCGUUUGACACCAGUGUUGUUUUUCCUGAAAAUCAAUUAACGAAUGUUUUUAUGAUAAGUGUUAUGACUUCAUCAGCUAACUGCUUUCUCUUUGACGACUUUCUUAAUGCACUUUUCAGGUUAACAAGUCAACAUCAAUUUCUUUUGUUGUAAAAAGCUUGAUUGGAAGGUGGCUUGCGCUUCGUAUAAGUGUUUAUAGCCUCUUAGCCUCUGCAGUCGGAGAGAUUGAGGUCUGCAGCGUAGAUCCUUCGGGGUUAGAUAGCAUUUGUGCUAAGUUAUAGCAUUUUCAUAGACAACAUUGUUGACUAUGUUAAGUCUUGUAGCUUACUCGCUUAUGCUAUUUUACCUACGCUUAUGAUGUUGAAGAUGUAGCACAUCAU
This 781-nucleotide ribosomal RNA is filed under the name uncultured Neocallimastigales. RNAcentral's name for it is "partial large subunit ribosomal RNA". It matches the Rfam family "Eukaryotic large subunit ribosomal RNA", at positions 22 to 635 of the family's 3401-position model. Lineage: Eukaryota; Fungi; Neocallimastigomycota; Neocallimastigomycetes; Neocallimastigales. The record is from RNAcentral.